GCUGCAGUGGUGCAACGGUCAGCAUAUUUGCCCAGUAAGCAAGAAGACCCGGGUUCCAGUCCCGGCCGCAGCA
Non-coding RNA from Schistocerca americana (American grasshopper), 73 nucleotides. The record is from the annotation of a RefSeq genome assembly. Lineage: Eukaryota; Metazoa; Arthropoda; Insecta; Orthoptera; Acrididae.